This 424-nucleotide ribosomal RNA is filed under the name uncultured prokaryote. RNAcentral describes it as "bacterial SSU rRNA". It matches the Rfam family "Bacterial small subunit ribosomal RNA", at positions 355 to 796 of the family's 1533-position model. The record is from RNAcentral.
CAACGAAUAUUCCCCAAUGGACGCAAGUCUGAGGGAGCGACGCCGCGUGCAGGAAGAAGUCCCUCGGGAUGUAAACUGCUUUCAGGGGUGAGGAAGAUCUGACCAACCCCAGAAGAAGCACCGGCUAACUCCGUGCCAGCAGCCGCGGUAAUACGGAGGGUGCGAGCGUUGUUCGGAAUUACUGGGCUUAAAGCGCGUGUAGGCGGAAUAUCAGGUGUCUUGUGAAAGCCCCGGGCUCAACCCGGGAACUGCUGGGCAAACCGGUAUUCUUGAGGCAAGUAGAGGUGAGUGGAACAACUGGUGGAGCGGUGAAAUGCGUAGAUAUCAGUUGGAACGCCGGAGGCGAAAGCGGCUCACUGGGCUUGUUCUGACGCUGAGACGCGAAAGCGUGGGUAGCAAACAGGAUUAGAUACCCCCGUAGUCC